This 485-nucleotide ribosomal RNA is filed under the name uncultured bacterium. Its description in RNAcentral is "partial 16S ribosomal RNA". It matches the Rfam family "Bacterial small subunit ribosomal RNA", at positions 29 to 507 of the family's 1533-position model. The record is from RNAcentral.
AUGAACGCUGGCGGCAUGCCUUACACAUGCAAGUCGAACGGCAGCACGGGUGCUUGCACCUGGUGGCGAGUGGCGAACGGGUGAGUAAUACAUCGGAACAUGUCCUGUAGUGGGGGAUAGCCCGGCGAAAGCCGGAUUAAUACCGCAUACGAUCCACGGAUGAAAGCGGGGGACCUUCGGGCCUCGCGCUAUAGGGUUGGCCGAUGGCUGAUUAGCUAGUUGGUGGGGUAAAGGCCUACCAAGGCGACGAUCAGUAGCUGGUCUGAGAGGACGACCAGCCACACUGGGACUGAGACACGGCCCAGACUCCUACGGGAGGCAGCAGUGGGGAAUUUUGGACAAUGGGCGAAAGCCUGAUCCAGCAAUGCCGCGUGUGUGAAGAAGGCCUUCGGGUUGUAAAGCACUUUUGUCCGGAAAGAAAUCCUUGGCUCUAAUACAGUCGGGGGAUGACGGUACCGGAAGAAUAAGCACCGGCUAACUACGUG